This 16-nucleotide small RNA is filed under the name Arabidopsis thaliana (thale cress). RNAcentral describes it as "ATSL144410". The record is from RNAcentral. Lineage: Eukaryota; Viridiplantae; Streptophyta; Magnoliopsida; Brassicales; Brassicaceae.
UUUCGAUCUGAAGAUU